This 82-nucleotide transfer RNA is filed under the name Armatimonadota bacterium. It matches the Rfam family "tRNA". From Rfam's summary of the family: Transfer RNA (tRNA) molecules are approximately 80 nucleotides in length. Their secondary structure includes four short double-helical elements and three loops (D, anti-codon, and T loops). Further hydrogen bonds mediate the characteristic L-shaped molecular structure. tRNAs have two regions of fundamental functional importance: the anti-codon, which is responsible for specific mRNA codon recognition, and the 3' end, to which the tRNAs corresponding amino acid is attached (by aminoacyl-tRNA synthetases). tRNAs cope with the degeneracy of the genetic code in two manners: having more than one tRNA (with a specific anti-codon) for a particular amino acid; and 'wobble' base-pairing, i.e. permitting non-standard base-pairing at the 3rd anti-codon position. Lineage: Bacteria; Bacillati; Armatimonadota. The record is from Rfam by way of RNAcentral.
GGGCAGGUGUCCGAGUGGUUAAAGGAGACGGACUGUAAAUCCGUUGGCAUCGCCUACACAGGUUCGAACCCUGUCCUGCCCA